AACCCGGCCGACAGAAGAUGGCGGAUGAGCAGCGUGCAGGGUUUUCUCCCUGUGGCUCACUCUCUCUUACUGUGCUGGGCGGUUGCUUCCUCUCCUGCUGCCCUUGGGAGUCAGACUCCAGGUUCUUCAGCCUGUGGCCCCUGGGGCUCUCGGGCCUUGGAGGACUGACUAGGAGCACACGGUGGGCCUCUCUGGUUUGGGGGCCUGGGACGUGGCGGAGCCCUGCAGCUUCUGUGCGGCCUGUUCUGGGCGUCGCGUUGAAACGCCAGCCAGUUCCCCAAGUAAGCUCCCUGCACACACGCCUGAUAGCCUGUUGGUUCCGUCCUUCUGCGGGAUUUUCACUACCACUCUCUAACUCACACACAGCAGAAAGAGCAUACGGGAGAGAUGAAGCAGUCCACUCCAAGAACAUUCUCAUCCUACGGAUUACGAGGAUGGACGUAGAACUACUCUAGGAAAUUCCUCAAACACUGCCAAGUACUUCAUGGCUGAAAGCCAAAUAUUCAGUCCCCCUGGGAUUACAGGAGUGUUGAAGAAAUGUUGUGACACAUCAGAACACCGCGAAAUACAUGGACACUUUCAAAUCAUGGAAGACUCAAGAAGAAACUUUAAUUAGAAGGAAACAGGAAUAUUCAACGGACUCCCAAGACAAGAAUAUAGAUGUAUAUCAGAAGCUGAGCAUUGAAGUUGCUACUAGAGUCUCCCCGAGCCCUUAUUGGAUUCUCACUUCAGGAGCUGCUUUCAUUAUUUUGCCUCUCAGUUUCAAAAUAGACAAAGAACUCAACACUCAACAAUAAGAAAAUGAACAACUUGGUUGAAAAAUGGGCCAAAGACCUUAACAGACACCUCACCAAAGAUGAUAGACAGGUAGGAAAUAAACAUAUAAAAAGAUGCUGCACGUCAGAUGUCAUCAGAAAAGUGCAAUUAAAACAACAAUGAGACACCACUAUGCAUCUCCUAGAAUGACCAAAACCCAGAACACUGACACCAAAUACUCUUGAGGAUGUGGAGCAAUUCUCAUUGCUGAUGGGAAUGCAAAAUGGUACAGUCUUUUGGAAGACAGCUUGGAGGUUUCUUAUAAAGCUAAACUUGGAUUUACCAUACCAUCUACCAGCAGUGCUCCUUGGUAUUUACCCAGUGGAGCUGAAAAUGUAUGUCCCCACAGAAAAACAGGCACGUGGACGCUUACAGAAGUUUUACACAUAAUUUCCAAGACUUGGAAGCAACCAAGAUGUCCUUCAGUCGGUGAAUGGAAGAAUAAACUGUGGAACAAUCAGACCAUGGAAUAUUAUUCAGUGCUGAAUAGAAAUGAGCUAAGAAAGCCAUAAAAAAACAUGGAGGAAAAGUAAGUGCAUAUUGUUAAGUUUAAGAGUCCAAAAGGCAACAUGCUCUAUGCUCCAACUUUAUGACAUUCUGAAAUCGGCGAAACUAUGGAAAAAGUAAAAAUAUUAGUGAUGCCAGGGGUUAAAGGAAGAGAGAAAGGGACAGGCAAGAGAACAGAGGAUUUUUAGGGCAGUGCAAAUACUCUGUAUAAUACAAUAAUGGUGGGUACACAACCUUAUACCUUUGUCCAAACCCACAGAAUGUUCAACACCAAGACUGAACCCUAAUGUAACCUGUGGACUUUGGAUGAUAAUGACGCAUCAAUGCAAGUCAUAAAUUUGGAAAAAUGUACCUCUCCUGGGAAGGAGUUGAUAAUGAGUGAGUCUAUGCAUGUGUAGGGGGAGGGGUUAUGUGAGAUAUUCAUGUACUUUCUGCCCAGUUUUGCUGUGAACCUAAAAUUACACUAAAAGUGGGCAAAGGACGUGAACAGACAAUUCUCAAAUGAAGACAUACAUGCAGCCAACAAAUAUAAAAUAAAGCCCAAUGUCACUGAUCAUUAGAAUAUUGCAUAUCAAAACCACAAUGAGAUACCACCAGAUGAUUAUUAAAAAGUCAAAAAAUAACAGAUACUGGCGAGGUUGUCAAGAAAAAGGAAUGCUUUUAUACUUUUGGUGGAAGUUCAACCACUGUGGAAGAUGGUGUAGUGAUUCCGCAAAGACUAGAGGCAGAAAUACCAUUUGACCCAACAAUCCCAUUACUGGGUAUAUACCCAAACAAGUAUAAAUUAUUCUGUUAUAAAGACACAUGCACAUGUAUGUUCAUUGCAGCACUAUUCACAAUAGCAAAGACAUAGAAUCAACCUAAAUGAUCCUCAGUGAUAGACUGGAUAAAGAAAAUGUGGUACAUAUAUACCAUGAAAUACUAUGCAGCCAUAAAAAGGAAUGAGAGUAUGUCCUUUGCAGUGACAUGACUGGAGCUGGAGGCCAUUAUUCUUAGCAAACUAACGCAGCAACAGAAAAACAAAUACUGCAUGUUCUUACUUAUAAGUGGGAGAUGACUGAUGAGGACACAUGGACCUAUUGGGGGGAACAACACACACUGGGGCCUGAGGGAGGAUGUGGGGGGGCGGUGAGAGGAUGGGGUGUGGGAUGCUGAGCUUAAUACUUCAGUGAUGGGAUGAUCUGUGCAGCAAACUACAAUUGCAUACAUUUACCUAUGUAACAAACAUGCACAUCCUACACAUAUACCCGUCAACUUAAAAGUUGGAAAUUUUAAAAAAUGAGAUAAAAAUUGCUCUACAAAAUGAAGUCUUUAAAAAAUGGGAAAAUUGUAAUCUCUUACUGAUAUCGCAGUUAUUAUGCAUCAUUUCUCAGAACCUUAUGAAGAUUAUUGCUGAAAUAGGAACCAACACAUUGUUUUUGUUAUUGAUCAGAAAGAAUUAAGAAAGCUUAGGCUGGGCACAGUGGCUCAAGCCUGUAAUCCCAGCACUUUGGGAGUCCAAGGCAGGUGGAUCACCUGAGCUCAGGAAUUCGAGACUAGCCUGGACAACAUGGCAAAACCCUGUCUCUACUAAAUAUACAAAAAUUAGUUGGGCAUAGUGGCGGACUCCUGUAAUCCCAACUUCUCAGGAGGCUGAGGCAGAAGAAUCACUUGAAUUAGGGAGGUGGUGCUCCAGCCUAGGUGACAGAGCAAGACUCCAUAUCCCCCAUGGCCUCCCCAACCCCCCCAGAAAAGAAAGUAAAAAAGAAAGCUCACCAUCUUCGUGGCACAAGCCAACAAGGUUGAAAAAGCCAAAGAUGCCAACAUUUACUGCUUUUUGAUUUUUUGAUUAUGGCCAUGCUUGCAGGAGUGAGGUGGUAUCACAUUGUGGUUUUGAUUUGCAUUUCCCUGAUCAUUAGUGAUGUUGAGCAUUUUUUUGUGUUUGUUGGCCAUUUGUAUCUCUUCUUUUGAGAAUUGUCUAUUCAUGUCCUUAGCCCACUUUUUGAUGGGGUUGUUUGUUUAUUUCUUACUGAUUUGUUUGAGUUCGUUGUAGAUUCUGGAUAUUAGACCUUUGACAGAUGUAUAGAUUGCAAAGAUUUUCUCCCACUCUGUGGGUUGUUGGUUUACUCUGCUGACGGUUCCUUUUGCCGUGCAAAAGUUCUUUAGUUUAAUUAGAUCCCAGAUAUUUAUCUUAGUUUUUAUUCCAUUUGUGAUGAACAGGGAACCCCUCUACAAUGCUUGUGGGAAUGUAAACUAGUACAGCAACUGUGGAAAACAAUGUGGAGAUUCCUUAAAAUGUAAAAGUAGAACUACCGUUUGAUCCAGGAAUCCCACUACUGGGUGUCUACCCAGAGGAAAAGAAGUCAUUAUUCGAAAAAGAUACUUGCACACACAUGUGUACAGCAGCACAAUUCACAACUGCAAAAUAGUGGAAGCAACCCAGAUAGAUGCCCACCAAUCAAUGAGUGGAUAAAGAAACUGUGAUAUAUAUACACACAAUGGAAUACUACACAGCCAUAAAAAUGAAUGAAUUAAUAACAUUUGUGGAGACCUGGAUGAGAUUGGAGACUAUUAUUCUAAGUGAUGUAACCCGGGAAUGGAAAACCAAGCAUCAUAUAUUCUCAAUGAUAUGUGGGAGCUAAGCUAUGAGGACGCAAAGGCAUAAGAACAAUACAAUGGACUCUGGGGACUUGGGGGGAAGAGUGGAAGGGAAGCGAGGGAUACAAAACUACAAAUAUGGUGCAGUGUAUGCUGCUUGGGUGAUGGAUGCACCAAAAUCUCACAAAUCACCACUAAAGAACUUAGACAUGUAACCAAAUACCACCUGUACACCAAUAACAUAUGAAAAAAUAAAAUUUAAAAAAAGCCAAAGACAAGUGAACGAAAGGAGUAAUUGAUGGCCAUGAUUUCCAAGUAGAUUUGCUGGGUCAAGAUCAAGGUCAGGGAAAAAUUUACACACUGUGAAUUUUUUUUAUCUGCACUGAAGUUGAAUAGAAAAUUUGAAUUCAUACUUAUGGGGUCACAGUAUGUCUAAUUUUAAAAUAGAU
Molecule: long non-coding RNA, 4349 nt
Filed under: Homo sapiens (human)
Lineage: Eukaryota; Metazoa; Chordata; Mammalia; Primates; Hominidae
Description: non-protein coding LINC01446:6
Source: RNAcentral